RNAcentral lists this ribosomal RNA (1463 nucleotides) under uncultured spirochete. Its description in RNAcentral is "bacterial SSU rRNA". It matches the Rfam family "Bacterial small subunit ribosomal RNA". Lineage: Bacteria; Pseudomonadati; Spirochaetota; Spirochaetia; Spirochaetales. The record is from RNAcentral.
AGAACGAACGCUGGCGGUGCGUCUUAAGCAUGCAAGUCGAACGAUAUCGACCCUUCGGGGUUGUGAAAGUGGCGAACGGGUGAGUAACACGUAGGUGAUCUACCUUGGGAUUGGGAAUAGCCCAUGGAAACAUGGAGUAAUACCGAAUACGUUCUCGUCUCUGUGGAGACGGGAAGAAAGGCGCGUGUGCGCCGUCCCGAGAUGAGCCUGCGGCGUAUUAGCUUGUUGGUGAGGUAAAGGCUCACCAAGGCGAUGAUACGUAGCCGGCCUGAGAGGGUGAUCGGCCACACUGGGACUGAGAUACGGCCCAGACUCCUACGGGAGGCAGCAGCUAAGAAUCUUCCGCAAUGGACGAAAGUCUGACGGAGCGACACCGCGUGGGUGAAGAAUGCCUGAUGGUUGUAAAGCCCUUUUUGUGCUGAGGAAUAAGGCGGGCAGGAAAUGGUCUGCCGAUGACGGUAAGCACAGAAUAAGCCCCGGCAAAUUACGUGCCAGCAGCCGCGGUAAUACGUAUGGGGCGAGCGUUGUUCGGAUUUAUUGGGCGUAAAGGGCGCGUAGGUGGUCAUAUAAGCUUGGUGUGAAAUACCGCAGCUCAACUGCGGAACUGCGCUGAGAACUGUAUGACUUGAGUUCCGGAGAGGAGGCUGGAAUUCCGGGUGUAGGGGUGAAAUCUGUAGAUAUCCGGAAGAACACCAGAGGCGAAGGCGAGCUUCUGGCCGAGAACUGACACUGAGGCGCGAAAGCGUGGGUAGCGAACAGGAUUAGAUACCCUGGUAGUCCACGCCGUAAACGAUGUGCACUAGGUGUUGGACCAACAGUGUUCAGUGCCAAAGCUAACGCAUUAAGUGCACCGCCUGGGGAGUAUGCCCGCAAGGGUGAAACUCAAAGGAAUUGACGGGGGCCCGCACAAGCAGUGGAGCAUGUGGUUUAAUUCGAUGAUACGCGAGGAAUCUUACCAGGGUUUGACAUAUACUGGAAGUCGUCUGAAAGGGCGACGCUCUUUGAGCCGGUGUACAGGUGCUGCAUGGUUGUCGUCAGCUCGUGCCGUGAGGUGUUGGGUUAAGUCCCGCAACGAGCGCAACCCCUAUUGUCUGUUGCCAACAUUUCGGAUGGGGACUCGGACGGAACUGCCGGUGACAAACCGGAGGAAGGCGGGGAUGAGGUCAAAUCAUCAUGGCCCUUAUGCCCUGGGCUACACACGUGCUACAAUGGUCGGUACAGAGCGAUGCGAAACCGCGAGGUGGGGCAAAUCGCAGAAAGCCGAUCUCAGUCCGGAUUGGAGUCUGAAACUCGACUCUAUGAAGUUGGAAUUGCUAGUAAUCGCGCAUCAGCAUGACGCGGUGAAUACGUUCUCGGGCCUUGUACACACCGCCCGUCACACCACCCGAGUUGGGGAUACCCGAAGUCGUUUAUCCAACCGUUCGCGGAGGAUGGCGCCGAAGGUAUGUUUGGCAAGGGGGGUG